RNAcentral lists this ribosomal RNA (369 nucleotides) under uncultured organism. RNAcentral's name for it is "bacterial SSU rRNA". It matches the Rfam family "Bacterial small subunit ribosomal RNA", at positions 526 to 896 of the family's 1533-position model. The record is from RNAcentral.
CGGAGGAUCCAAGCGUUAUCCGGAUUUAUUGGGUUUAAAGGGUGCGUAGGUGGGAUGAUAAGUCAGAGGUGAAAGCUAGCAGCUUAACUGUUAAAUUGCCUUUGAUACUGUCAUUCUUGAGUAUAGUUGGCGUUGGCGGAAUGUGACAUGUAGCGGUGAAAUGCGUAGAUAUGUCACAGAACACCGAUCGCGAAGGCAGCUAACGAAGCUAUCACUGACACUGAUGCACGAAAGCGUGGGGAGCAAACAGGAUUAGAUACCCUGGUAGUCCACGCCGUAAACGAUGAUAACUCGACGUUGGCAAUAUACUGUUCAGCGUCCAAGCGAAAGCGUUAAGUUAUCCACCUGGGGAGUACGAUCGCAAGGUUG